AACGAACGCUGGCGGCAUGCCUAACACAUGCAAGUCGAACGAGGUCUUCGGGUCUAGUGGCGCACGGGUGCGUAACGCGUGGGAAUCUGCCCUUUGGUUCGGAAUAACAGUUGGAAACGACUGCUAAUACCGGAUGAUGACGAAGGUCCAAAGAUUUAUCGCCAGAGGAUGAGCCCGCGUAGGAUUAGCUAGUUGGUGUGGUAAAGGCGCACCAAGGCGACGAUCCUUAGCUGGUCUGAGAGGAUGAUCAGCCACACUGGGACUGAGACACGGCCCAGACUCCUACGGGAGGCAGCAGUGGGGAAUAUUGGACAAUGGGCGAAAGCCUGAUCCAGCAAUGCCGCGUGAGUGAUGAAGGCCUUAGGGUUGUAAAGCUCUUUUACCCGGGAUGAUAAUGACAGUACCGGGAGAAUAAGCUCCGGCUAACUCCGUGCCAGCAGCCGCAGUAA
RNAcentral lists this ribosomal RNA (449 nucleotides) under uncultured bacterium. RNAcentral's name for it is "partial 16S ribosomal RNA". It matches the Rfam family "Bacterial small subunit ribosomal RNA", at positions 29 to 523 of the family's 1533-position model. The record is from RNAcentral.